GGAGUUGUAGCUCAGUGGUAGAGCGCUAGCCUAGCAAGGGUGGGGCACUGAGUUCAAUUCUCAGCACCA
This 69-nucleotide transfer RNA is filed under the name Ictidomys tridecemlineatus (thirteen-lined ground squirrel). RNAcentral's name for it is "Spermophilus tridecemlineatus (thirteen-lined ground squirrel) tRNA". It matches the Rfam family "tRNA". From Rfam's summary of the family: Transfer RNA (tRNA) molecules are approximately 80 nucleotides in length. Their secondary structure includes four short double-helical elements and three loops (D, anti-codon, and T loops). Further hydrogen bonds mediate the characteristic L-shaped molecular structure. tRNAs have two regions of fundamental functional importance: the anti-codon, which is responsible for specific mRNA codon recognition, and the 3' end, to which the tRNAs corresponding amino acid is attached (by aminoacyl-tRNA synthetases). tRNAs cope with the degeneracy of the genetic code in two manners: having more than one tRNA (with a specific anti-codon) for a particular amino acid; and 'wobble' base-pairing, i.e. permitting non-standard base-pairing at the 3rd anti-codon position. The record is from Rfam by way of RNAcentral. Lineage: Eukaryota; Metazoa; Chordata; Mammalia; Rodentia; Sciuridae.